Molecule: ribosomal RNA, 253 nt
Filed under: uncultured bacterium
Lineage: Bacteria
Description: partial 16S ribosomal RNA
Rfam family: Bacterial small subunit ribosomal RNA
Source: RNAcentral
UACAGAGGUCUCAAGCGUUGUUCGGAAUUACUGGGCGUAAAGGGCUCGUAGGUGGCCAACUAAGUCAGACGUGAAAUCCCUCGGCUUAACCGGGGAACUGCGUCUGAUACUGGAUGGCUUGAGUUUGGGAGAGGGACGCGGAAUUCCAGGUGUAGCGGUGAAAUGCGCAGAUAUCAGGAAGAACACCCGUGGCUAAGGCGGCUCUCUAGUACGGUACUGACGCUGAGACGCGAAAGCGUGGGGAGCGAACAGG